CACGUCCCAAACCUGUGGCGGGAGUUGGAGAUUCUGCGGCGAAUACGCCAGGAUCAUCAUGCCUAGGGUUCAUAACAUAAAAAAGUCUCUUACACCUCACAUUUCUUGUGUGACAAAUGAAUCUGAUAAACUGCUGGAUUUUUUGCCUGACAGACUAAGAGCAAAGCUACUUCCAUUCCAGAAAGAUGGCAUCAUUUUUGCCCUCAAAAGAAAUGGCAGGUGUAUGGUGGCUGAUGAAAUGGGUCUAGGAAAGACAAUCCAGGCAAUUGGAAUUACUUACUUCUAUAAAGAGGAAUGGCCUCUGUUAAUAGUAGUCCCUUCGUCUCUGAGGUACCCUUGGACAGAAGAAAUUGAAAAAUGGAUCCCAGAGCUAAGUCCAGAAGAAAUCAAUGUUAUUCAGAAUAAAGCUGAUGUUAGGUAAGAACAACUGUUUAAUAUUUAAGGAGAAAAGUCUUCCUUGUGUGUACCUGGUAUAUAUUCAUGUUUUAGAAUGCAAUAUCACCUAUAGAUAAUAAUUUAGAAGUGGAGUAAGUAGUAUGGAGAAUU
Molecule: small RNA, 546 nt
Filed under: Pan troglodytes (chimpanzee)
Lineage: Eukaryota; Metazoa; Chordata; Mammalia; Primates; Hominidae
Description: retained intron
Source: RNAcentral